RNAcentral lists this unclassified non-coding RNA (2526 nucleotides) under Drosophila ananassae. RNAcentral's name for it is "GF14167". Lineage: Eukaryota; Metazoa; Arthropoda; Insecta; Diptera; Drosophilidae. The record is from RNAcentral.
UUUUUUCAGAGCUUAUUAGAUUUAACAGAAAUAGAAUUAUGCAAUGUUCUUUUAGAUUGGCCUAAUUCUAUUUAGCUGCAAGUGUUUAUACACGUGCCAUUUGUACCUGUGAGUCCGUGUUAGCUAACGCCCUUUUAAGUCACGUCAGUAUUGGAAACCGCGAAACAACGUCAGUAUACCUAAAAACAAAAAAACAAAAGAAAAACAAUCGAAGAAUGCAACGAAUCAGCUAGGAAGAUUGCAUUUGAGAAAGGACAGUAACCAGAAAUUAGUAGAACUCUACUAAAAUGUCGCAGGCUGCAUCUACGACUCAGAGUGCGGCAGCUGCACCGGUGGGGGGCAACCGACGGCCCCUUCCCAACGAUGUUGUGGGCGGCGUAGGCGUCAUGGGGACCACCAUGUCAGCUCGAUACGGGGAGACCGAGUGGGAGGCCCGAGAGUCCCAGAGGCAGAGGGAGCUGCAUGAAGCUCGCGCCAGGGCGGCUCAGAUGGAAAAGACCAUGAAGUGGUGGUCCGAUUGCACUGCCAACUGGCGAGAGAAGUGGAGUAAGGUGCGUAACGAGCGCAACAAAGCCAGGGAGGAGUCCAAGCAGCUGAGUAUCAAGCUGGACGUCGCUAUGAAAGAUGCACACUCCCUCAAGCGCGAGAAAAACGAUCUCGAGCUGCAGAUUACGCAGCUCAAGAAGGAAAUGGAGAAGGUGCACUCGCUGAUGAUGAAGCAUGCCGGUCAGUUCCAUCGCGCCGACACCAGCGAAGAUGCAGAGGCCAACGGGCGGGAUGCUAACUGUUCACCGGACAUCUCGUCGGAUGGACUUAAGAACGUUAAUAGCGAGGAUGGUCUGGUCAUGAAAUUGCCCAGUGAAGCCAAGGAUCAAGACAUCGAGGAGUUCGCCUUGAAAGGGGCCAUGCCGAAGCAUCUUACAGAGUUGGAUGAAGCGGCUGCUGCUGAGGAAAAGCGUCUGAUUCAGCAGCUUUCAAAGGAUGACUUUGAUGAGGACUACUUGACGCAGAAGAUAUCUAUGCUGCAGUUGCGUUUGGAUGAGGCGCAGAAAACCCUUCAGGCGGAAAGAGAUGAGAAACUGGAACUGCACAAGAGCAUUGAGAAGCUUACCCUAGAGAUCCAGGACGUGCGUGGCCGACAGGAGGAGAUGCGUUCGGCGAAACAGGAAGCAGUACGAGAACUUCUCACUCUGCAGGAGCAACAUCGCGCCGAGAUGCGUAUCGUUAACAACUCCCUACAAGAGGAGAUUGCCGCUCGCGAGAACCUUGAGCGUCGACUCACCGAACUUCGCACUGAGCUGGAGCACUUGCAAGCAGAGAAUGCAUCCGAGUGGGGUAAGCGGGAGCGCCUGGAAUCGGAGAAACUUGCCAUGGAGCGGGAUAACAAGAAGCUGCGUGCUGAACUGAGGGACUACCAGGAACGAUCUGAUCGCAAGUGCCGCCCCAUGCAGGCCAACGACGUGGAGCUGCGGGCCUUGCAGCAGGAGCUCUCGGAGCGCAACAAGGAAAUUAGCGAAGUAAAGAUGUCACACGCCAAGCUAAAAAAGCUGCUGGCCGAGACAAAUACCGAGCUGGGCCAUGCCGUUCGUCGGGCGGAGCAGUACGAGGCGGAGGUGAAACGCCUUCGUCAAAGGGUGGAGGAGCUAAAGCGAGAACUGGCUGGUGCCGAGGAUGAACUGGACUCGGCAGUCAACCAGGUGCGUCGGCUGCAGCGCUCCAAUGACGAGCUGGUGGGCCAGACCGAGGGGUUGCAGGUCCAGAUACAGCAUCUCCAGAACAGACGUGCCCCGAGCCCACAGAUGAGGGGACUGGGCGGGGUGCAAUUAAGGAACAAGAUCGCCGUGGAGCUUCCCAACGACUGCUUGCCGAAUAUAAACGAUCUGCGACAGAUCUUUGAUGACUCGCAGGCGGGACUAAGGAGCUCCCAUAACGGCAGCGAUGCCGCUGUCCAUCAUGCCGCCUCGGUGAAGAGAUCCAGUCACACGGAACGAACUCUGCUCCAGCAGCAGCAGAGCAGUGCAGCCGCAUCCGCGGCGGCGGCAGCUGCAGCAGCAGCAGCGUUUUUUGAUGCGAAGCCCACGCACCUGGAGGAGAACAUCUUCGAGUCGAAGUCGAGGAACCUGGAGUUCGAGCGGGCCAAACAGAAGUUCGAUAAUCCGCAUGGCCAGCACCAUCAUCACCAGAGGCAGCGCUCGGGGAAUGGACGGUAUGGCAGUGCAGGAAGCGGAGCUAGUCGGGCGAAUCUUGCCCUGCCCCUCAAGGGCAUAAACAAUGGGGGUAGCUCCACUUCCUCCUCCACCAAAGACGAGCUCAACCGACAGCUGUACGAGGCGCACGAGAAGGAGCAAGCACCUGGGGUGGGAUAUGCCAGGAAUAGUAUUAAUCUAGAUGGUCUUAAGGUAUCUGAUGAUGAGACUCCGUAGCUAUGGCUCGACAAGUUUGCUUCUGGACGAUGAAACCGAGGGAAACAGCGAUUGAAACAAAUACAUUCGACAGAGAGUUAAUGAUCUGUAUAAAAUAAAAAUU